Anarrhichthys ocellatus (wolf-eel) is the source of this 720-nucleotide long non-coding RNA. RefSeq lists it as uncharacterized. The transcript is spliced from 2 exons. The record is from RefSeq and is a predicted model, not a curated record. NCBI's taxonomy places the organism in Eukaryota, Metazoa, Chordata, Actinopteri, Perciformes, Anarhichadidae.
GGGUUAGUCAGGUAACCAUGACGACACAUUUUGAAAGUUGGUGCUAGAGUCCCGAAAGUCCUUGUGUGCACUCCUGGCAUGCCUUCGCGCCCGUUUGCGAAGUUUGGUGGCUUUAGCGGCUUCCUCUGGUUAUGGCUGUCAUUGACACCCAUUGCUUUGGGUUGGCGGCCUCGUGCCGGCCAGGGUUGGUCAGGUAACCAUCUCGACACAUUUUGAAAGUUGUUGCUGGAGUUCCGAAAGUCUGUGUGUGCACUCCUGGCAUGCCUUCGUGCUUGUGUGCGAUGUUUGGAGGCUUUAGCGGCUUCCUCUGGUUAUGGCUGUCAUUGACACCCAUUGCUUUGGGAUGGCGGCCUCGGGCCGGCCAGGGUUGGUCAGGUAACCAUGACGACACAUUUUGAAAGUUGGUGCUAGAGUCCCGAAAGUCCUUGUGUGCACUCCUGGCAUGCCUUCGCGCCCGUUUGCGAAGUUUGGUGGCUUUAGCGGCUUCCUCUGGUUAUGGCUGUCAUUGACACCCAUUGCUUUGGGUUGGCGGCCUCGUGCCGGCCAGGGUUGGUCAGGUAACCAUCUCGACACAUUUUGAAAGUUGUUGCUGGAGUUCCGAAAGUCUGUGUGUGCACUCCUGGCAUGCCUUCGUGCUUGUGUGCGAUGUUUGGAGGCUUUAGCGGCUUCCUCUGGUUAUGGCUGUCAUUGACACCCAUUGCUUUGGGAUGGCGGCCUCGG